CCUCUUGUUACCUAUAAGAGGUCCAGCCUGCCCAGUGAAAUAUUCAACGGCCGCGGUAUCCUAACCGUGCGAAGGUAGCGUAAUCACUUGUUCUCUAAAUCGGGACUAGUAUGAAUGGCACCACGAGGGUUUUACUGUCUCCUUUUUCCAAUUAGUGAACUUAAUCUUCCCGUGAAGAAGCUGGAAUAAACCUAUAAGACGAGAAGACCCUUUGGAGCUUUAAACAAUUUAGCACCUGCACCACUGCCUUCAUAUUUCUGAAUUUAUAUCCCCCGCAGGCUGACUAAAAGUUUUAGGUUGGGGUGACCGCGGAGUAAAAUUCAUCCUCCACACUGUAAGAAUCUACUGAAUCUUAACCAAGAGACACACCUCUAAGUAUCAACAUACUGACAUCCAUUGACCCAAUAUAUUUGAUCAACGAACCAAGUUACCCUAGGGAUAACAGCGCAAUCCAUUUCAAGAGCCCCUAUCGCCAAAUGGGUUUACGACCUCGAUGUUGGAUCAGGAUUUCCCAGUGGUGCAGCCGCU
This 528-nucleotide ribosomal RNA is filed under the name Amazophrynella javierbustamantei. RNAcentral's name for it is "partial large subunit ribosomal RNA". It matches the Rfam family "Bacterial large subunit ribosomal RNA", at positions 1832 to 2563 of the family's 2925-position model. Lineage: Eukaryota; Metazoa; Chordata; Amphibia; Anura; Bufonidae. The record is from RNAcentral.